CGAAUGAACGAAAGUCCAAGAUAGAAUAUGACAAAAACUAAAAAGACUGCUGCCUCUAAAAAAGGGAAAAAAAAAAAAGACCAAAUCAAACAAAGGAUUGAGUCCUCGUCGGAAAAUGAUUCAGAACUUAUUACCCCAUCUCCAGU
RNAcentral lists this non-coding RNA (146 nucleotides) under Pteridomonas danica. The record is from RNAcentral. Lineage: Eukaryota; Dictyochophyceae; Pedinellales.